This 540-nucleotide ribosomal RNA is filed under the name Pediococcus pentosaceus. RNAcentral describes it as "bacterial SSU rRNA". It matches the Rfam family "Bacterial small subunit ribosomal RNA", at positions 64 to 580 of the family's 1533-position model. The record is from RNAcentral. Lineage: Bacteria; Bacillati; Bacillota; Bacilli; Lactobacillales; Lactobacillaceae.
UUAUGACGUACUUGUACUGAUUGAGAUUUUAACACGAAGUGAGUGGCGAACGGGUGAGUAACACGUGGGUAACCUGCCCAGAAGUAGGGGAUAACACCUGGAAACAGAUGCUAAUACCGUAUAACAGAGAAAACCGCAUGGUUUUCUUUUAAAAGAUGGCUCUGCUAUCACUUCUGGAUGGACCCGCGGCGUAUUAGCUAGUUGGUGAGGUAAAGGCUCACCAAGGCAGUGAUACGUAGCCGACCUGAGAGGGUAAUCGGCCACAUUGGGACUGAGACACGGCCCAGACUCCUACGGGAGGCAGCAGUAGGGAAUCUUCCACAAUGGACGCAAGUCUGAUGGAGCAACGCCGCGUGAGUGAAGAAGGGUUUCGGCUCGUAAAGCUCUGUUGUUAAAGAAGAACGUGGGUAAGAGUAACUGUUUACCCAGUGACGGUAUUUAACCAGAAAGCCACGGCUAACUACGUGCCAGCAGCCGCGGUAAUACGUAGGUGGCAAGCGUUAUCCGGAUUUAUUGGGCGUAAAGCGAGCGCAGGCGGUC